This 500-nucleotide ribosomal RNA is filed under the name Shewanella sp. AER No. 203. RNAcentral describes it as "bacterial SSU rRNA". It matches the Rfam family "Bacterial small subunit ribosomal RNA", at positions 13 to 505 of the family's 1533-position model. The record is from RNAcentral. Lineage: Bacteria; Pseudomonadati; Pseudomonadota; Gammaproteobacteria; Alteromonadales; Shewanellaceae.
UUGACCUGGCUCAGAUUGAACGCUGGCGGCAGGCCUAACACAUGCAAGUCGAGCGGCAGCACAAGUGAGUUUACUCAUGAGGUGGCGAGCGGCGGACGGGUGAGUAAUGCCUAGGGAUCUGCCCAGUCGAGGGGGAUAACAGUUGGAAACGACUGCUAAUACCGCAUACGCCCUACGGGGGAAAGAGGGGGACUUUCGGGCCUCUCGCGAUUGGAUGAACCUAGGUGGGAUUAGCUAGUUGGUGAGGUAAUGGCUCACCAAGGCGACGAUCCCUAGCUGUUCUGAGAGGAUGAUCAGCCACACUGGGACUGAGACACGGCCCAGACUCCUACGGGAGGCAGCAGUGGGGAAUAUUGCACAAUGGGGGAAACCCUGAUGCAGCCAUGCCGCGUGUGUGAAGAAGGCCUUCGGGUUGUAAAGCACUUUCAGUAGGGAGGAAAGGGUAAGUCCUAAUACGGCUUAUCUGUGACGUUACCUACAGAAGAAGACCGCUAACUCCG